GCAUUUGCAAAAUACUGAUGAAAGGGAAAGAAACUGGACACGUCUGUAACAUCUGGUAAUUUUCCACCUUUAACUUUCACUUUGCUGAUAUAUUCUUCCCAACGUGACAUUACUUGGUAUAAGAAAAAGUGGCCAGCUGUUUCACAAGUAUAAGAAACAUCUCCUGGGACACCAAGACUCUCUUGCAAUCGCCCAACCUCUCGCAGGAGUUCAAGUCUUCGAGCCAGAACAUAAUUCACUCUUCCAUACCUGCUGAAAUCUUUCUCUGUCUCUAAUUCCUCUUCUCCAUGACCCAGACGCAGGAGAUGGCGCUCAUCAAUGUCUAGAGCCAUGAUUUUUUCAAACAGCUGGUUCAAGGCCUGAUUAGAGUGGGUAACUAUAAGAGUUCGUUGUUCUGGGAAAUUAUGAUACAGAUUGGAUAUUAUCUGGACUGCAACAUCAGUUUUCCCUGUACCAGGUGGACCCACUACCAUAGUUAGUCCAGGUUGCAUUCCUGCACGUAUAGCUUCAAUCUGAGUGUGGGUGAAUUGAAUAGUAUUGCGUUUUGGUUGAUUAUAUGGAUAUGGUCCCCUGUUUGGAAUGAUGUGAGGCUCUACAAUCAGUGUUUUAGCUUCUUCAGAUUUUUCUUCAUUCUCAUCCUCUUUUCUUUUCUUUCCUCUACCUCCUGUUAUUGGGAAAGUUAUCCUGAAGGGAGGUACUUGUAGUUCUGGAUUGUCAACAGUCACUUUAAUAUUGUACCCAGGAAAACUAGCUUUUAAGUGAUCAAUGGACAAGAAGGUGUCAUUAAAAUCUAGAGACGCAAUCUGAUUUGGCAUUUUUGAAUAGUGUGCACUACUUGGGUCUCCAUAUCCAAGAAUGAUGUCAUGUAGCCAGUCAGGAACCACACAAUCUGUGUUCAUCAAAUUUCUAAUAGUUUCCAGAACAGCCUUGAAAUUGUUUUCUUUUGGUUUUCUUCUCAUUAUUAUAUUAAAAGUCUCAUAUACAUCUUCUGCUCCAUUCUGGAUUGUAUUGGUCAUGUCUUGUUGAUACUGGUUUGGGUCCAGAAAUACUCUGUAUGUUCUGCAAUCGCCUUUAAGUCUUGGUUUGGGUUCAGGUCCCUCUUCAAUAACACGUCCUUUCUCAUCCAACAUGCCCUGGAUUUCACAGCCUCUAACAUACACCAGUCCAGUCUGCUCAACAAAAGGUCGUCUUCGGUCAAACUUAGUACCGUAAGGUUGCGUGGGACGUACCGUAACCAAAAAGCAGACAUCAUGUUUCCGUAGACCUUCCCAUUCAUCUUUGAUGCUAUCUCUAACAUUCAAAUUAAUUGUGACAUCUGCUCGUACUCGCAUGGGCCAGUUUUCACCAAUAUUGGGCUUUGCAACCUCCACCACUGUGAAAGACACAAUGGGCUGUGCCAUCCUAGCCCAUCCACCAAAGACCACACCUCCAUAUUCUGACAGCCAUGGUUUCAUCCUACUGAC
Molecule: long non-coding RNA, 1463 nt
Filed under: Gallus gallus (chicken)
Lineage: Eukaryota; Metazoa; Chordata; Aves; Galliformes; Phasianidae
Source: RNAcentral